This 67-nucleotide transfer RNA is filed under the name Notocrater youngi. Its description in RNAcentral is "tRNA-Ile". The record is from RNAcentral. Lineage: Eukaryota; Metazoa; Mollusca; Gastropoda; Lepetellida; Pseudococculinidae.
GGUGAUGUGCCAGAUCAAUUGGACUGCGUUGAUGAUGCAGCAUAUGGGAUAGAUUUCCCCAUCGCCU